Molecule: ribosomal RNA, 468 nt
Filed under: uncultured bacterium
Lineage: Bacteria
Description: partial 16S ribosomal RNA
Rfam family: Bacterial small subunit ribosomal RNA
Source: RNAcentral
GACGAACGCUGGCGGCGUGCUUAACACAUGCAAGUCGAACGGAAAGGCCCUGCUUUUGCGGGGUGCUCGAUUGGCGAACGGGUGAGUAACACGUGAGUAACCUGCCCUUGACUUUGGGAUAACUCCAGGAAACUGGGGCUAAUACCGGAUAUGAUCUCCUGCUGCAUGGUGGGGGUUGGAAAGAUUCGGCGGUUGGGGCUGGACUCGCGGCUUAUCAGCUUGUUGGUGGGGUUGUGGAUUACCAAGGCUUUGACGGGUAGGCGGCCUGAGAGGGUGAGCGGCCACAUUGGGACUGAGGUAAGGCCCAGACUCGUACGGGAGGCAGCAGUGGGGAAUAUUGCAGAAUGGGCGGAAGCCUGAUGCAGCAACGCCGCGUGCGGGAUGACGGCCUUCGGGUUGUAAACCGCUUUCGCCUGUGACGAAGCGUGAGUGACGGUAAUGGGUAAAGAAGCACCGGCUAACUACGUG